UACAGUCAUACAGCAUUGAAACACUGGUUUUCAUACAAUCACUGAAGUUAAGUAAUGUCAAGCCUGGUCAGUACCUAGAUGGGUGACUGCUUGGGAAUACCAGACGCUGUAA
This is a non-coding RNA of Acanthosepion pharaonis, 112 nucleotides long. The record is from the annotation of a GenBank genome assembly. NCBI's taxonomy places the organism in Eukaryota, Metazoa, Mollusca, Cephalopoda, Sepiida, Sepiidae.